GAACAAGCUACACAGAGGACAGGGUGGAUGCCUUGGCGCUGAAGGCCGAAGAAGGACGCGGAGACCGGCGAAACGUUCCGGGGGAGCUGCAUGCAAGCGAUGAGCCCGGAGAUUCCCAAUGGGGCAACCCCUCCAGAGUGAUGUCUGGAGACCGCCUGCUGAACACAUAGGCAGUGACGGGGGGCAGUGGGUGAACUGAAACAUCUCAGUAGCCCGACGAGAAGAAAUCAAACGAGAUUCCCGUAGUAGUGGCGAGCGAAACGGGAGGAGCCCAAACCAGGCGCUCUUUCGGGAGCGACUGGGGUUGUAGGACCAGUAACACGAUCUAACGGAUGUACUCCAACAUGCUGGAACGCAUGGCCAGAGCAGGUGAGAGCCCAUUCGAGAGACCAUCGGUGAGAUCCGGCUGGCAUCCUGAGUACCACGAACCCCGGUGAGUUUGUGGGAAGCUGGGGGGACCACCCUCCAAGGCUCAAUACCUUCAGCGACCGAUAGUGAACCAGUACCGUGAGGGAAAGGUGAAAAGCACCCCGCAAGGGGGAUGAAAGAGACCCUGAACCCCUGUCCUCACCAGCAGUCAGAGGCCACUGUCCGCUUGGCGGACCAAGGGCUGAUGGCGUGCCUUUUGUAGAAUGAUCCGGCGAGUGCAUGCGCGUCGCCCGGUUAACCUGCGCUAAAGCAGGGGAGCCACAGGGCAACCGAGUCCCAAAUGGGCGCUACUGUGGCGCGCAUGCGACCCGAAACCACGUGAGCUAUCCAUGGGCAGAGUGAAGCGGAUGUGACAGUCCGUCGAGGCUCGAACUCACCAGUGUUGCAAAACUGGGGGAUGACCUGUGGAUAGGGGUGAAAUGCUAAUCGAACGUGGAGAUAGCUGGUUCUCCCCGAAAUGCAUUGAGGUGCAGCCACACGUCAAGACGAUCCUGGAGGUAGAGCGCUGGAUGGGCUCGGGGCCAAGUGCUGGUUACCAACCCCAACCAAACUGCGAAUGCCAGGACCGCGUGCGUGUGAGUGAGACGAUGGGGGCUAAGCUUCAUCGUCAAAAGGGAAACAGCCCAGACCACCAGCUAAGGUCUCUCAAUCGAUGCUCAGUGUCAAAGGCCGUUCGUGCGCACAGACAGCCAGGAUGUUGGCUUAGAAGCAGCCAUCAUUGAAAGAGUGCGUAAUAGCUCACUGGUCGAGUGCACGGGCACCGACAACGUAGCGAGGCUCAAGCAUCGUACCGAAGCUGUGGAUGGGACUCUCGACAGAGAGCCCAUGGUAGGGGAGCGUUCUCUGGGCCGAGAAGCCCGACCGCAAGGACGGGUGGAGCGCAGAGAAGAGCGAAUGCCGGAAUGAGUAGCGUCAUGCGUGUGAGAACCACGCACACCGCAAGCCUGAGGGUUCCUGGGCAACGUCAAUCGACCCAGGGUGAGUCGGGUCCUAAGCCGAGGACAUUACGUCGUAGGCGAUGGCAAGCAGGGCAUGAUGAUCCUGCACCAGAGCGCAUCGUUACGGAGCGAAGGGGGGACGCGGUAGGGGACAUGAACCCAUCGAAUGGACAGGAUGGGCUGCCCGUCUGGAGUGCGCGCGCCAGGAAAAACCGGCGCGCACGAGCAUGACGGCGGGCACGAGCCUGCGCAAGCGGGCGGAAGUCAUGGACCCCCAGGCCGCCCAGAAAAGCCUCUAGCUAGAUGCGUCUCUGCCCGUACCGCAAACCGACACAGGUAGGCCGGGGGAAGACCCCCAAGGUGAACGAGUGAACCUCUGUCAAGGAACUCGGCAACAUGACCCCGUACCUUUGGAAGAAGGGGUGCCCUAGUAGCUUCGCUGUCUCAGACAGCGGGGUGAGGGGGUCGCAGGAAAUGGGCUCAAGCGACUGUUUACCAAAAACACAGGUCUCUGCCAACGCGCAAGCGGAAGUAUAGGGGCUGACUCCUGCCCAGUGCCGGAAGGUUAAAGGGAGUGGUGAUCGUAGCCACGAACUGAAGCCCCGGUGAACGGCGGCCGUAACUAUAACGGUCCUAAGGUAGCGAAAUUCCUUGUCGGGUAAGUUCCGACCCGCACGAAGGGAGUAACGACUUGAGCGCUGUCUCGACAGGGGGCUCGGCGAAAUUGAAGGACCCGUGAAGAUACGGGUUACCCACGACAGGACAAAAAGACCCCGUGGAGCUUUACUACAGCUUGGCCUGGAGACGAGGCGAUGGCUACGUAGGAUAGGUGGGAGCCAGAGAAGUCCCCCUCGCGGGGGGGAUGGAGGCGACGGUGAAAUACCACUUUGCCAUGGUGUUGCCUCUCAUGCUGGACCGUGAGCCGGCCAGCAGACAGGGCCAGGCGGGUAGUUUGACUGGGGCGGUCGCCUCCUAAAAAGUAACGGAGGCGCCCAAAGGUUCCCUCAGGGUGGAUGGACAUCACCCGCAGAGAGUGUAAAGGCAGAAGGGAGCUUGACUGCAAGGCCAACACGCCGAGCAGGGACGCAAGUCGGGCUUAGUGAUCCCACAUUCCCGAGUGGAAGGAGUGUGGCUCAACGGAUAAAAGCUACCCCGGGGAUAACAGGCUUAUCCUGCCCAAGAGUUCACAUCGACGGCAGGGUUUGGCACCUCGAUGUCGGCUCGUCGCAUCCUGGGGCUGGAGUAGGUCCCAAGGGUUGGGCUGUUCGCCCAUGAAAGCGGCACGCGAGCUGGGUUCAGAACGUCGCGAGACAGUUCGGUCUCUAUCCGUCGUGGGCGCAGGAAGAUUGAGGGUCGUCAUCUCCAGUACGAGAGGACCGAGAUGGCUCGACCGCUGGUGAGCCAGUUGGGGUGCCCACCCCACCGCUGGAUAGCUACGUCGAGAAAGGAGAAGCGCUGAAAGCAUCUAAGCGCGAAGCCGCCCCCAAGAUAAGU
This 2861-nucleotide ribosomal RNA is filed under the name Chloroflexota bacterium. RNAcentral describes it as "Chloroflexi bacterium partial 23S ribosomal RNA". It matches the Rfam family "Bacterial large subunit ribosomal RNA". The record is from RNAcentral. Lineage: Bacteria; Bacillati; Chloroflexota.